This 2565-nucleotide ribosomal RNA is filed under the name Triticum aestivum (bread wheat). RNAcentral describes it as "partial small subunit ribosomal RNA". Lineage: Eukaryota; Viridiplantae; Streptophyta; Magnoliopsida; Poales; Poaceae. The record is from RNAcentral.
AUGGAGCAGAGGAGCCUGCUCGCCUCGGCGGUGGGCAUGGGCGUGGGCGUCGGGCUGGGGCUCGCGUCGGCGAGGUGGGCGAAGCCGGCGCACGCGGCCGACGGGGGCUCUGGCGCCGGCGCCGGCGCCGCGGAGGUGGAGGCGGAGCUGCGGCGGCUGCUGCUGGACGGCCGCGACAGCGAGGUCACCUUCGACGAGUUCCACCACCGCCACUGCUACCUCAGCGAGCAGACCAAGGAGGUGCUCAUCAGCGCGGCCUUCGUGCACCUCAAGCAGGCCGACCUGUCCAAGCACAUCCGGAACCUCUCCGCCGCCAGCCGCGCCAUCCUCCUCUCCGGCCCCACAGAGGCUUACCUGCAGUCGCUUGCCAAAGCUCUCUCCCACUACUACAAGGCCCGGUUGCUGCUCCUCGACGUCACCGACUUCUCCCUCCGGAUCCAGAGCAAGUAUGGGGGCUCCAGCAAGGCCUUGGUUCAGAACCAGUCCGUGUCCGAGACGACGUUCGGGAGGGUGUCCGAUUUCAUCGGAUCUUUCGCGAUGUUUCCAAAGAAGGAUGAGCCUAGAGAAUCAUUGCGUCGUCAGACAAGCAGUGCAGAUUCGAGAGCUAGAGGCUCUGAUGUUGCUAGCAAUGACCCUUUACUCCGGAAAAAUGCCUCCAUGCCAUCUGAUAUGAGCGACGUUGGAUCGCAGUGUUCUGUGCAUUCAGCUAGGCGAGCAAGUAGCUGGUCUUUCGAUGAGAAAGUUCUGAUACAGUCACUUUACAAGGUCAUGAUUUCUGUGGCUGAAAGCGAACCGAUUAUUCUUUACAUAAGGGAUGUUGACCACUUCCUUCACAGAUCGCAAAGAACUUACACCAUGUUCCAGAAAAUGUUAGCCAAGUUAUCCGGGCAAGUGCUGAUACUAGGAUCCCGGCUACUCAACUCUGACGCUGAGUACAGCGAUGUGGACGACAGAGUUAGUAGCCUGUUCCCUUAUCAUGUUGACAUUAAACCCCCACAGGAAGAAAUCCAUCUCAAUGGUUGGAAGACUCAAAUGGAAGAAGACGCAAGGAAAAUUCAGAUUCAGGACAACAGAAACCACAUCGUGGAGGUACUCUCGGCAAACGAUCUAGACUGCGAUGAUUUGAGCUCAAUCUGCCAAGCAGACACAAUGGUCCUCAGCAACUACAUCGAGGAAAUUAUCGUGUCGGCGGUCUCUUACCAUUUGGUUCAUACCAAGGAUCCUGAAUACAAAAAUGGGAAGCUCCUUUUGUCUUCCAAAAGUUUGUCCCAUGGAUUAAGCAUUUUUCAAGAAACUGGCCUUGGUGGGAAAGACACGCUGAAACUCGAAGCGAACGAGGAUGGUCUGAAAGGUGCACCUGGAUCUAAGAAACCUGAGAAUGAUAAAUCGCCGGGUAAAGAUGGCGACGCCCCACCGCCAAAACCAGAAAUACCCGACAACGAGUUUGAAAAGCGUAUCAGACCGGAGGUUAUACCACCCAGUGAGCUAGGAGUGACAUUUGAUGACAUUGGAGCCCUGGCUGAUAUCAAAGAGUCGCUUCAGGAGCUGGUCAUGCUUCCUCUUCGACGGCCCGACCUUUUCAAGGGAGGAGGACUUCUAAAGCCUUGCCGGGGAAUAUUGCUGUUCGGGCCACCUGGAACUGGCAAGACGAUGCUUGCUAAGGCUAUAGCAAAUGAUGCAGGUGCCAGCUUCAUCAAUGUGUCAAUGUCCACAAUCACAUCGAAAUGGUUCGGGGAGGACGAGAAGAAUGUCCGAGCAUUGUUCAGCUUGGCUGCGAAGGUGGCUCCUACUAUAAUCUUUGUGGAUGAGGUAGAUAGCAUGUUGGGGCAGCGCGCUCGCUGCGGUGAGCAUGAGGCGAUGAGGAAGAUCAAGAAUGAGUUCAUGAGCCAUUGGGAUGGCAUCUUGUCGAAGUCUGGCGAAAGAAUCCUCGUUCUUGCCGCGACAAAUCGACCGUUCGACCUUGAUGAAGCCAUCAUUCGGAGAUUCGAGCGCAGAAUCAUGGUUGGCCUUCCAACUCAGGAUAGCAGAGAGCUGAUUUUAAGGACAGUUUUGUCGAAGGAGAAGGUCGAUAAAGACAUCGAGUACAAGGAGCUUGCGACUAUGACCGAAGGUUACAGCGGCAGUGAUCUUAAGAAUCUUUGUGUGACAGCUGCUUACCGACCGGUUAGGGAGCUUCUGAAGAAAGAACGGUUGAAAGAGAUGGAAAGAAGGAAAACAGAGGCGGAACAGAAAACCGCCGCGGCAGCAGAGGAUUCAGACAAGCCAGAGAACAAGAAGGUGAGUUCAGAUAACAAAGAAAACAAUCCAGAGAAGGUGGAUUCAUCAGAUAGCAAAGAGGGCAGUUCAGAAAGCAAAGACGAUAGUUCAGAAACCAAGGCUGAAGGCGACAAGGAAGCGGUCGUCGAUCUUAGGCCGCUGACGAUGGAGGACCUGAGGCAGGCCAAAAAUCAGGUCGCCGCGAGCUUCGCCGCGGAGGGCGCUGUCAUGAACGAGCUGAAGCAGUGGAACGACCUCUACGGCGAAGGAGGGUCGAGGAAGAAGGAGCAGCUGACCUACUUUUUGUAG